RNAcentral lists this ribosomal RNA (429 nucleotides) under uncultured bacterium. RNAcentral describes it as "bacterial SSU rRNA". It matches the Rfam family "Bacterial small subunit ribosomal RNA", at positions 340 to 786 of the family's 1533-position model. The record is from RNAcentral.
UACGGAAGGCAGUGGGGAAUAUUGGACAAUGGGCGAAAGCCUGAUCCAGCCAUGCCGCAUGAGUGAAGAAGGCCUUCGGGUUGUAAAGCUCUUUUAGUGAGAAAGAUAAUGACGGUACUCACAGAAGAAGUCCUGGCUAACUCCGUGCCAGCAGCCGCGGUAAUACGGAGAGGGCUAGCGUUAUUCGGAAUUAUUGGGCGUAAAGAGCGCGUAGGCUGAUUAGUAAGUUAAAAGUGAAAUCCCAAAGCUUACUUUGGAAUUGCUUUUUAAAACUGCUAGUCUAGAGAUUUGAAAGAGGAUAGAGGAAUUCCUAGUGUAGAGGUGAAAUUCGUAAAUAUUAGGAGGAACACCAGUGGCGAAGGCGUCUAUCUGGUUCAAAUCUGACGCUGAGGCGCGAAGGGCGUGGGGAGCAAACAGGGAUUAGAUACC